Molecule: ribosomal RNA, 253 nt
Filed under: uncultured bacterium
Lineage: Bacteria
Description: partial 16S ribosomal RNA
Rfam family: Bacterial small subunit ribosomal RNA
Source: RNAcentral
UACGAAGGGGACUAGCGUUGUUCGGAAUUACUGGGCGUAAAGCGCACGUAGGCGGAUCGAUCAGUCAGGGGUGAAAUCCCAGGGCUCAACCCUGGAACUGCCUUUGAUACUGUCGAUCUGGAGUAUGGAAGAGGUGAGUGGAAUUCCGAGUGUAGAGGUGAAAUUCGUAGAUAUUCGGAGGAACACCAGUGGCGAAGGCGGCUCACUGGUCCAUUACUGACGCUGAGGUGCGAAAGCGUGGGGAGCAAACAGG